GUCCCUGUAGCGCAAUGGAUAGCGCGUUGGACUUCUAAUCCAAAGGUCGCGGGUUCGAAUCCCACCUGAAAUG
This 73-nucleotide transfer RNA is filed under the name Trichonephila clavata. It matches the Rfam family "tRNA". Rfam says of the family: Transfer RNA (tRNA) molecules are approximately 80 nucleotides in length. Their secondary structure includes four short double-helical elements and three loops (D, anti-codon, and T loops). Further hydrogen bonds mediate the characteristic L-shaped molecular structure. tRNAs have two regions of fundamental functional importance: the anti-codon, which is responsible for specific mRNA codon recognition, and the 3' end, to which the tRNAs corresponding amino acid is attached (by aminoacyl-tRNA synthetases). tRNAs cope with the degeneracy of the genetic code in two manners: having more than one tRNA (with a specific anti-codon) for a particular amino acid; and 'wobble' base-pairing, i.e. permitting non-standard base-pairing at the 3rd anti-codon position. Lineage: Eukaryota; Metazoa; Arthropoda; Arachnida; Araneae; Nephilidae. The record is from Rfam by way of RNAcentral.